RNAcentral lists this small nucleolar RNA (210 nucleotides) under Neogobius melanostomus (round goby). RNAcentral's name for it is "Small nucleolar RNA U3 (ENSNMLG00000010961.1)". It matches the Rfam family "Small nucleolar RNA U3". Rfam says of the family: Small nucleolar RNAs (snoRNAs) are involved in the processing and modification of rRNA in the nucleolus. The record is from Rfam by way of RNAcentral. Lineage: Eukaryota; Metazoa; Chordata; Actinopteri; Gobiiformes; Gobiidae.
AGGACUAUACUUUCAGGGAUCAUUUCUAUAGUUUGUGACUUGAGAUAAUGUGUUUCUAAAGUGUCAUUGUCUCGCGUGCCCAUGAUGAGAGUUGGUUGAUGCUUCUUCUUGAACAUGAAGAAGGUAAAAUUGGUUUCAUCCCAUAGUUUCUCUAAUGACUGUUCACUGUUUUAUCAAUUAACAUGAAGAAAGGAGUUAUGAUCUGGUGGG